RNAcentral lists this unclassified non-coding RNA (24 nucleotides) under Mus musculus (house mouse). RNAcentral's name for it is "oocyte_clustered_small_RNA13154". Lineage: Eukaryota; Metazoa; Chordata; Mammalia; Rodentia; Muridae. The record is from RNAcentral.
UGCCUGUGGUUUCAGAGGUGUGGU